AGAGGAAUCAUCCAGGAGCUCUCAUCAGUCGAGAAUAUGGCAGAAGUGGACCUGAGAAGCCUGGACAGCCUUCUAAGUGCGAAGGAAAAAGACUUCAUGUGCGAGAGUCUACAGCCCUCGUGAUGGAAAACAAGUGAGAGUGACAAGACGGCGAGCGUUGUUGGUGCCAGGCAGCAGCCGUCCAUCUGGGAGCAGGACAGCUGUUACUAUCGCUGAGAUAAGUAUCUCUUUUGCUGAGGGUUCUGCUCCUCCAGGUAGGGACACCCCAUUAGCUGGGGCUGGGUUUGUAAGAAAAGGUUCCGGAGUAGCUGUCGUUAUGAGGGAGACAAGGUCCCCAUUUUCAGGGGCUGGUCAGUUCUCUGGCCAGUAGCAGUGUGUCCUCUGCAGUGGAAGUUAGAUCCGGGAGGAUGACUGCAGGUGGAAAGUUGCUUGCCAUCCUCUCAUGUUUCUCUCUUUCUUUUCUACUGUGUUGGCCAACAUUCUCUCUCUCUCUGUCCGUCUGUCCUUGCCUUUCCUUGUGCUGUCUUCCUUCGUAGCACACAGGCAGGCGUGCUUGGCCUAUGUAUUAGGAGCCAUGAAGAAGUAGAAGGGGAUGAAAAUAAUGCAGAGUAAUGGGCACGAGAGCGGAGUGGUGACUGUCGGUGUUAACUCGGUCUCUGUUCAUCGAGUGGGGCUGAUGUAGAUGGGAUGGAAGAGGGAGGUGGGGAUGAGGGCAAGAUUUCAUGCACCAAUUGAAUUUUGUGUAGUGAUGGCUUUUGCUUGGGUUACUUGCUGCAUUUGCAGAGGAAUCAUCCAGGAGCAGCAGCCAGAGGAGAAAUUGGCAGACAUGGACCUGAGCAGCCUGGACAUCCUUCUAAGCAGAGAUUAACAGGCCUCAACUUUCUACCUUCCACAUAACGGGGUGUGAGUAAGCGUACCAAUAGAAAAGAAGUGGAGGGUCAGUGUCCGCUCCUCUCCUGCGAUGGAAAGCGAGUGAGAGCGAUGAGAUAGCAAGCAUUAUUGAUGCCAGUCAGCUGCUGAGAAAUCGGGCGAGGAGGCUCCGGCAGCG
This is a long non-coding RNA of Mauremys reevesii (Reeves's turtle), 1048 nucleotides long. RefSeq lists it as uncharacterized. The transcript has 4 exons. The record is from RefSeq and is a predicted model, not a curated record. NCBI's taxonomy places the organism in Eukaryota, Metazoa, Chordata, Testudines, Geoemydidae.